CUUCACCGAGCCGAGCCACAGCGGCCGGUCGGUGGUCCGGUUCUGGCCGUACGUCGCCAGCAGCGCCUGCGCCUC
Molecule: antisense RNA, 75 nt
Filed under: Paractinoplanes brasiliensis
Lineage: Bacteria; Bacillati; Actinomycetota; Actinomycetes; Micromonosporales; Micromonosporaceae
Description: Actinoplanes brasiliensis ASpks TB sRNA
Rfam family: ASpks TB sRNA
Source: RNAcentral